RNAcentral lists this unclassified non-coding RNA (195 nucleotides) under fungal sp. RNAcentral's name for it is "partial internal transcribed spacer region". The stretch from base 1 to 46 matches the Rfam family "Eukaryotic small subunit ribosomal RNA", at positions 1786 to 1831 of the family's 1831-position model. Lineage: Eukaryota; Fungi. The record is from RNAcentral.
AAGUCGUAACAAGGUUUCCGUAGGUGAACCUGCGGAAGGAUCAUUAAUGGUUGACCUUGAGGGUCUUAUCAAUAAUCCUAGCACCUGUGAACCGUUUUUGGCCUCCGGGCCGCUUACAUUACUACAAACAUUGUGUGAAGAACGUCUUGUUAUCUUAACAAAACAAAACUUUCAACAACGGAUCUCUUGGCUCCA